This 27-nucleotide non-coding RNA is filed under the name Bombyx mori (domestic silkworm). The record is from RNAcentral. Lineage: Eukaryota; Metazoa; Arthropoda; Insecta; Lepidoptera; Bombycidae.
AGAAAGAGUAAGACAGCGAGAUGAAGA